AAACACUUUCAUGGUUACAAUAAUACUGAAGUCUUAAAUGAAGACAAUAAAUAGCUUCCUGCUUAAAAUGAAACUGGUGGGCACUGUGACUGGGCAGAGCAGCAGGACUGGGGACAGCAGCCUUUGUGAACCUUGAUAGAAACAGUUUUAAUCUGGGGGGAGUUCUCUGUCCCACUCUGAAGAUACUCCAUUAGCCUGCAGCAUGGGAUGAACUUAGCCUGAUUUUUCUUCAUGGUUUGAUUUCAUGAUGUCAUCAUGGAAAUCUUCUUGCCACCUGUUUUUGGUAGGGGUGGCUGCCUUGCACCCUCAGCCAGGGGGAUUCCAAAUGCCUGUUUCAGCC
RNAcentral lists this long non-coding RNA (340 nucleotides) under Manacus vitellinus (golden-collared manakin). Its description in RNAcentral is "lncRNA (ENSMVIG00005012595.1)". The record is from RNAcentral. Lineage: Eukaryota; Metazoa; Chordata; Aves; Passeriformes; Pipridae.